This 468-nucleotide ribosomal RNA is filed under the name uncultured bacterium. RNAcentral's name for it is "partial 16S ribosomal RNA". It matches the Rfam family "Bacterial small subunit ribosomal RNA", at positions 28 to 507 of the family's 1533-position model. The record is from RNAcentral.
GACGAACGCUGGCGGCGUGCUUAACACAUGCAAGUCGAACGGAAAGGCCCUGCUCUUGUGGGGUGCUCGAGUGGCGAACGGGUGAGUAACACGUGAGUAACCUGCCCUUGACUUUGGGAUAACUUCAGGAAACUGGGGCUAAUACCGGAUAGGAGCUCCUGCUGCAUGGUGGGGGUUGGAAAGUUUCGGCGGUUGGGGAUGGACUCGCGGCUUACCAGCUUGCUGGUGGGGUAGUGGCUUACCAAGGCUUUGACGGGUAGCCGGCCUGAGAGGGUGACCGGCCACAAUGGGACUGAGAUACGGCCCAGACUCCAACAGGAGGCAGCAGUGGAAAAUAUUGCACAAUAGGCGGAAGCCAGAUGCAACAACGCCACGAGCGGGAUGACGGCCUUCGAGUUGUAAACCUCUUUCGCCUGUAACGAAGCGUGAGUGACGGUAAUGAAUAAAGAAGCAACGGCUAACUACGUG